CAACUUUUCACUUGAAACAAGGAUCCUUCUAAGGACAAUUUCCGCACUCAGAACUAAAUCCUGUUAAGCUCAAUAGAACCGAAGGCCUUUUCUUCUUCUUUUCUCUCUCUCUUUUUUUGCAGGUAAAUGUGUUUAGAGCUAGAGAUUAAGUACGGUUUGAGAAAAGAGAAGACACGUGUCUGGGUACAUCCGGGAUACCCCUGUGACUUAGUAUAUCCCUUCAGCGUUCAGCUUACAAAGAGAGGAGACACGUUUAAGGAGCAAAACAGCAACCACGGGCCGCGGAAUUUGAUCAGAUCAUAUUUGGCUGUGUGGCCUGGUCUCUUGGAAUCUGUCAAUUGCACACCAGUUGGGAGGAAAAAGCCCUCCUGCCUUGCCCGCCUUUAAUCGCACUGGUUCCCUACCUUGCCCUGUUAAGAAGGAACCGGGCCUUACACAGGCUGACCCUCCCAGGAAGAGGAAAGGAGGGAGAAUGCCCUGGUCUCCUUUUUUCCCAAGCAGAAAAGCCCCCCAGGUUGCUGUUUCUGGGUGCUGACCCCCCCUUGCCUAUUUUCGGCCCACUUGUUUCAUCAACAAGUUUUAAGAAUAAUUUUCUCUAGCAUCUUUAGAGACGGACUUUUGUCUCUUUCCCCUAUAAGCUUGUCAUACUUUAUUUUAAGACCCGGGAUUAUUUGUUCCAAUAACAAUAGAAGAAGGAAACAUGUUACAUAUAAACACCAAGGUUUAGGGUGCUGUUGCUGACUCUAAAAUUUAACAGGACCAAAGGAAAUACAGUGUGGGAAAUGAAAGAGGCGGCUUUUCCAGAAAAGAAACAAAAUGUAUCAGCUUUAGAUUGGUCAUUUACAGGGCAAAUACAUUUUAAAAGGCACUUUGAGGGGUCUCUUAUAAGGACGGAGCUCCAGGUCCCUAGGUAUGCAUAAGGAUUUAAUUAUACAGUACAUUGUGGCUCAAACUCUUUUACUUAGCAUAGUAAGUCACAAGUCAUGUAGGUUCAUUUAAAUCAAUGGCACUUAUGGAGGAGUUAACUCACUAAAUUCUCACUGAUUCAGUGGGCCUACUUGAGUGCAACUAAGCAACAGGAUUCCAGCCUAUAUGUAAUAUAGUCUAGAAUCUAAUGUACAUAUAUACCCACACAGCAAAUAAGUCAAUACAUUAUGUAUGUAUUGACUUAUUUGCUGUCUGGGUAUAUAUGUACAUUAGAGGACAGCUUGAAACACAUAGAUAGUGUAAAGAACACCAAAAUGUGUGGGUGAAUAUACAGUCAGAAUUCUGGUCUCAAUGAAAACAAUAUAAGGAGUGUGG
Long non-coding RNA from Pogona vitticeps (central bearded dragon), 1302 nucleotides. Lineage: Eukaryota; Metazoa; Chordata; Lepidosauria; Squamata; Agamidae. The record is from Ensembl.